RNAcentral lists this ribosomal RNA (497 nucleotides) under uncultured bacterium. RNAcentral describes it as "partial 16S ribosomal RNA". It matches the Rfam family "Bacterial small subunit ribosomal RNA", at positions 28 to 507 of the family's 1533-position model. The record is from RNAcentral.
GAUGAACGCUGGCGGCGUGCCUAAUACAUGCAAGUCGAGCGAACAGACGAUGAGCUUGCUCCUCUGACGUUAGCGGCGGACGGGUGAGUAACACGUGGAUAACCUACCUAUAAGACUGGGAUAACUUCGGGAAACCGGAGCUAAUACCGGAUAAUAUAUUUAACCGCAUGGUUCAAUAGUGAAAGACGGUUUUGCUGUCACUUAUAGAUGGAUCCGCGCCGCAUUAGCUAGUUGGUAAGGUAACGGCUUACCAAGGCGACGAUGCGUAUCCGACCUGAGAGGGUGAUCGGCCACACUGGAACUGAGACACGGUCCAGACUCCUACGGGAGGCAGCAGUAGGGAAUAUUCCGCAAUGGGCGAAAGCCUGACGGAGCAACGCCGCGUGAGUGAUGAAGGUCUUCGGAUCGUAAAACUCUGUUAUUAGGGAAGAACAAAUGUGUAAGUAACUAUGCACGUCUUGACGGUACCUAAUCAGAAAGCCACGGCUAACUACGUG